GCAGACGCUCAACCACUGAGCCACCCAGGCGUCCCUCUAAAAUACAUUUAUUUAUUUAUUUAUUUAUUUAUUUAUUUAUUUUCCUAAAAUACAUUUAAAGGAAAGAGUAGAAGGUAUUGCAAAAAUUCAAAGGUGAGUUUCAGGUUUUUGGCUUGGCUAAUUGGGUGACUGAGAAUAAUACAGAAAAAGUUUUGUUUUUUUUUUUUAAGAUUUUAUUUAUUCACAAGAGACACACAGAGAGAGGCAGAGACAUAGGCAGAGGGAGAAGCAGGCUCCUGGAGAGGAGCCUGAUGUGGAACUCUAUUCUAGGACCCCUGGAUCAUGCCCUGAGACAAAGGCAGAUGCUCAACCACUGAGGCACCUUCCAGGUGCCCCAAAAGGUGAAAACUGUGUGUAAAGGUUGAUAUAUUAUUUUAGACAUGCUGAGUCUGAGGUUCCCAUGUGCUAUCCAAGGGGAAAGGUUGAGUAAGAAAUUGAGUAUAUGUAUCUGAAGCUUUGGGAAAAGUCUCAGAGGUAUAGAUUAGAGACUCUUCAUCUUCAUGUAGGUAGUUGUUAAAACCUCAAGUGGAUGACAUUACACCAAGAGCGUGCAGCAUGAGUGCACUGAGGACAGACCCUUGGGAACAAGAAUAUUUUAAGAGUGGAUGGAGAAAAUAUCAAGUAAAAAACAUGGCUAAGAAGAGAAAAGAAGAGAAAGAAAGAAAUUUAAUAUUUAAGAGAAGAAGGAAAGUUGGCAGAAUGAGAGCUUGAAAGAAAGAUGGAGGGAUUUGGAAGAGUUAACCUUAUAUGAGAAGGACACCUUAUUUUCUUAGCAUGAAAUGAGAGAGACAGAGAGAGGCAGAGACACAGGCAGAGGGAGAAGCAGGCUUCAUGCAGGGAACC
This is a long non-coding RNA of Canis lupus familiaris (dog), 882 nucleotides long. RefSeq lists it as uncharacterized. The transcript has 3 exons. The record is from RefSeq and is a predicted model, not a curated record. NCBI's taxonomy places the organism in Eukaryota, Metazoa, Chordata, Mammalia, Carnivora, Canidae.